CGACCUCGCGAGAGCAAGCGGACCUCAUAAAGUGCGUCGUAGUCCGGAUUGGAGUCUGCAACUCGACUCCAUGAAGUCGGAAUCGCUAGUAAUCGUGGAUCAGAAUGCCACGGUGAAUACGUUCCCGGGCCUUGUACACACCGCCCGUCACACCAUGGGAGUGGGUUGCAAAAGAAGUAGGUAGCUUAACCUUCGGGAGGGCGCUUACCACUUUGUGAUUCAUGACUGGGGUGAAGUCGUAACAAGGUAACCGUAGGGGAACCUGCGGUUGGAUCACC
RNAcentral lists this ribosomal RNA (278 nucleotides) under Escherichia coli 1-392-07_S4_C3. Its description in RNAcentral is "partial 16S ribosomal RNA". It matches the Rfam family "Bacterial small subunit ribosomal RNA", at positions 1250 to 1527 of the family's 1533-position model. The record is from RNAcentral. Lineage: Bacteria; Pseudomonadati; Pseudomonadota; Gammaproteobacteria; Enterobacterales; Enterobacteriaceae.